Molecule: ribosomal RNA, 266 nt
Filed under: uncultured bacterium
Lineage: Bacteria
Description: partial 16S ribosomal RNA
Source: RNAcentral
CUGCUGCCUCCCGUAGGAGUCUGGUCCGUGUCUCAGUACCAGUGUGGGGGACCUUCCUCUCAGGACCCCUACGCAUCGUCGCCUCGGUGGGCCGUUACCCCGCCGACUAGCUAAUGCGCCGCAUGGCCAUCCGCAGCCGAUAAAUCUUUAAACAUCGGGAGAUGCCUCCCAACGUUGUUACGCGGUAUUAGACGGAAUUUCUUCCGCUUAUCCCCCUGCUGCGGGCAGGUUCCAUACGUGUUACUCACCCGUGCGCCGGUCGCCGG